GACGAACGCUGGCGGCAGGCCUAAUACAUGCAAGUCGAACGGAUCCUUCGGGAUUAGUGGCGGACGGGUGAGUAACACGUGGGAACGUGCCCUUUGGUUCGGAACAACUCAGGGAAACUUGAGCUAAUACCGGAUAAGCCCUUGGGGAAAGAUUAUCGCCAUUGGAGCGGCCCGCGUCUGAUUAGCUAGUUGGGUGGGGUAAAGGCCUACCAAGGCGACGAUCAGUAGCUGGUCUGAGAGGAUGANCAGCCACACUGGGACUGAGACACGGCCCAGACUCCUACGGGAGGCAGCAGGUGGGGAAUUGUUCGCAAGUGGGCGAAAGCCUGGACCGACGCAACGCCGGCGUGGAGGACGAAGAUUUUCGGAUCGUAAACUCCUUUCGAUCGGGACGAAUGACUGGUGGCCCAAUACGCCAUCAGAGUGACGGUACCGAGAG
This 439-nucleotide ribosomal RNA is filed under the name uncultured bacterium. RNAcentral's name for it is "partial 16S ribosomal RNA". It matches the Rfam family "Bacterial small subunit ribosomal RNA", at positions 28 to 484 of the family's 1533-position model. The record is from RNAcentral.